UCACACCCGUUCCCAUGCCGAACACGGAAGUUAAGCUCUUCAGCGCCGAUGGUAGUUGGGGGAUCUCCCCCUGUGAGAGUAGGACGUCGCCAGGC
RNAcentral lists this ribosomal RNA (95 nucleotides) under Rossellomorea aquimaris. The record is from RNAcentral. Lineage: Bacteria; Bacillati; Bacillota; Bacilli; Caryophanales; Bacillaceae. RNAcentral also lists the same sequence under 5 other names.